AUCCAGGGUGGAUUAUAGGAGCAGGGUGGCACAUCUAUACAGCCAUGACCUCUCUAUAGCACUUCAAGCUCUGGUGGCUCCAAAAGGCAACAGAGCCCCACUGCCUAGCUGAGCUGCACAAUUUGGACAAUCUCUUUCCUCUUCUGGGUUACCAAUUGACUCGGCUUCUCAUCUGAGUCCACAGACUCCUAACACAAUCCUCUUCCUACAAGGCACCCAUGGACUAAAUGAGGGACACUCAUGAUUAAGGCCACGACUCAUUGUAAACAUUUGAAACCGGAAACUUGGGAUUCUGGAAAAGGCAAGA
RNAcentral lists this long non-coding RNA (307 nucleotides) under Bos taurus (domestic cattle). RNAcentral's name for it is "long non-coding RNA NONBTAT008320". The record is from RNAcentral. Lineage: Eukaryota; Metazoa; Chordata; Mammalia; Artiodactyla; Bovidae.